UACGUAGGUGGCAAGCGUUGUCCGGAAUUACUGGGUGUAAAGGGAGCGCAGGCGGGUCUUCAAGUCAGCUGUGAAAACUAUGGGCUUAACCCAUAGACUGCAGUUGAAACUGUAGAUCUUGAGUGAAGUAGAGGUAGGCGGAAUUCCGAGUGUAGCGGUGAAAUGCGUAGAUAUUCGGAGGAACACCAGUGGCGAAGGCGGCCUACUGGGCUUUAACUGACGCUGAGGCUCGAAAGUGUGGGGAG
Molecule: ribosomal RNA, 245 nt
Filed under: uncultured Oscillospiraceae bacterium
Lineage: Bacteria; Bacillati; Bacillota; Clostridia; Eubacteriales; Oscillospiraceae
Description: partial 16S ribosomal RNA
Rfam family: Bacterial small subunit ribosomal RNA
Source: RNAcentral